ACAAUGUGAUGAUGAUGUGUAAAAAUUCGAUUAAGUACAUGUAUUUUAUUUCUUAUACUCUGACUUAUUAAGUCAGAAUAGUGCAACUCAAAAGUCAGUUUUAUCAUCUGAAAAUGAAAGGUAAUGACAAGAUCUUCCAGAUAGUUGCGUAAACCUCAAUAUGGCAUUAGCAGACCUACGAGACAAUGAACAAGUUCGCUUCAAAAAAGAUAGAAGAGAUUCUUUUAUUCAAAUAUAACGGGCCAGUAUCAAGAGAAGAACACUGCUGGAAACACAAACCAACGGAGCUGUGCCAUAAUAAAAACAAAAGGAAUAGAUAGCAUAACCAUAAUAAUCACAGUCAAAAGUUAAGAAAAUGGAAUAAUACUGAAUAAUUUGUAUUACGUUCCAGAUAUUCGGAAAAUAUAAUCUAGAUAUUCCAGACACUAUGCAAGAAAUUCAAGGGAAGACAGAUCAGCCAGAAUGCAUCAUGAUCAGUUACAAGAAAUGCGCAAAAGGCUACAGAUUAUGGUGUCCCGAGAUGUAAUAAUGACCAAACAUGAAAUACCUUUUUAUGGUUUCGAGUAUUGCCAGUCACCAGAAUCAAUUCGACACCUAAUUUUAACACGAUUAGGCAACGCAUUUGGGAUUUGACCCAGGGAGGGGCCUUUGUAAGGCAUUUUGCACUUCGAUGACACCUCAAUCCGCAUCUAAAACAACAAGUCCUCCCAGUGUCCCUGUGUUGUGUUCCAGCGUCCCAGUUGUUUCAUUUUCCUCUUAAUUGUACGUUUGUAUUUCCUUUUUCCCAUCUGUUUAUAUUUUUGUUCCCAUUACCUUUUAUUCCUUCGUACAGCAUAAAUGUUGUUUUCAAUUCUCAUAUUCGCCACACCAUAUAAUAUGGUCUUAUUUAUCUCAUCGUCUUUAAUAUCGCCAAUGAUGUACUUAAUCGUUGCAGAAACUUCAACAUCCAUUUGUUUCGCAAUUUCAAGCAUUUGAUAAAUGUAUUUGAUGUAGCAUUCAUCGGGUCUUCUAAUCCUUGUGAAUAAUUGUGUAUGUACCUUAUGUGAUUAUGCAAAUCCACAACUGGAAAGAAUUCGAAUUUGAAUGCCUUCAUAAUUUCGACCGACUUUUAUGUUUCUCACUUUCCACAAAUAAUUUUACCAAUUCUCUCAACAGCCUCUUUACGUAUACUAUCUACUCAACGUUAUCCCACUUACACAUUGUGAACAUUUUCUCAAACUUCUGCAACCGAUAACUUACGUAUCGACUGUAUCGUCACUACAAAAUAUGCUUACUGACUCUUCAACAUCUCGAAAUGAACCCGACGACGAAAAUCUUCAGUAGUAGUAUCCGAAUCAGCAUCCAGCACGUCAAAUUCAUCCAAGUCCUGACCACGUUCGAUCUCAAACCUGAUCGCUGCCUUUAAUCGUGGUCGCAAUUCGCGUCAAGUAGUCCAUUCGCGUUAAUAACAGUUUUGACACCGCACUUAGACAUCUUGGGUAGCUUCUAUUGUCACUGUAACUCACAAUCACGUUGCAUCCUCAUUCCGAACGAACCAGAGGGGUUAUGAACUGCACUCCCUCAAUUGUGUGUGGUAACGUCUAUUUUUUGACGCGAAGAUCCGCGGUACAAUAAUCGUCGAGGGAAAUAGAAGGUAUGCAGUGGCAGAAGCUCGACAAAGUCCAAUGCCCAGGCCGCUGGUUCUUACUGAUCGACUGUUGUCAGACCAGCAAUUACAGCUUGAAAGAUCGAAGUCAUACUGACUGAUCCUUCAGUCUUUAGAGCUUUGUAACUCGCAGAUUUCAUCUCUCGUAUGCCUGCUCUGACUGCCUGUAACUGACUAUCCGUUUUCAACCUUCAGUAUUCUCCUUCCUCACAUAUACUACACAUUCAUACUGUGCGUCACCAACCAACAUCUGAAAACUCCGCGUGGAUUCUAGGAACUCAUUCGUCCUUUUCGCGCCAACGAUAAUCUAUAAUAAACAUCCGCUCCCCUGCUAUACCGAUUCGAAGAUUCGUCAAUCGCGCCGACAAUCGCUCCAUCACUCGCACAAAAUAUUUUCGAUACUACAAAAUUGUAAAAAUAACUGGUCAUUUUCAUAACAUUAUUUUGAUAACAUAAAAUUAAUGGUUAAAACAAUAUAUUACUUUUUAAAUUGCAAUUUGAUGUGUAGGAUUGGAAUGAGUAGGGCCUUG
Molecule: long non-coding RNA, 2175 nt
Filed under: Eufriesea mexicana
Lineage: Eukaryota; Metazoa; Arthropoda; Insecta; Hymenoptera; Apidae
Description: uncharacterized LOC108551611, transcript variant X3
Source: RNAcentral